RNAcentral lists this long non-coding RNA (1387 nucleotides) under Homo sapiens (human). Its description in RNAcentral is "HSALNT0050828". The record is from RNAcentral. Lineage: Eukaryota; Metazoa; Chordata; Mammalia; Primates; Hominidae.
UGAUAAUAAAGUUCAUUCUUCAUUCCGUAACAGCCAUGGAUACACUUGAGGUAAUUUCUGAGCUUCGGGAGAAGUUGGAUCUGCAGCAUUGUGUUUUGCCAUCACGGUUACAGGCUUCCCAAGUAAAGUUGAAAAGUAAAGGACGAGCAAGUUCCUCAGGAAAUCAAGAAAGCAGCGGUCAGAGCUGUAUUAUUCUCCUCUUUGAUGUAAUAAAGUCAGCUAUUAGAUAUGAGAAAACCAUUUCAGAAGCCUGGAUUAAGGCAAUUGAAAACACUGCCUCAGUAUCUGAACACAAGGUCUGCAUUGUCUUCAUUGUUAUCUUUAAUGACUGUAUUCUGGUCUAAUAACUCAGUUUUGGUGUCCUAAGAAGUGGAGCAUUCAGUUAAGAUAAGUAGUAAAAUUUUUUUUGUUUUUUCUUGUUUGUCCUGCUUGCCUUUUUAACUGUUUUUUUUUUUUUCCUGGAAGCAUAGACUCAGGUUGCCCUGAAUACACGCCCAAUGUUUUCUCUUUUUUUGUUUUGUUUUGUUUUUGUUUUUGUUUUUGAGACGGGUUCUCACUCUGUCACCUAGGCUGGACUGCACUGGCGUGAUCUCGGCUCACUGCAAGCUCCGCCUCCUGGGUUCACGCCAUUCUCCCGCUUCAGCCUCCCAAGUAGCUGGGACUACAGGCACCUGCCACCACGCCCGGCUAAUUUUUUGUAUUUUUAGUGGAAAUGGGGCUUCAUCAUGUUAGCCAGGAUGGUCUCAAUCUCCUGACCUCAUGAUCUGCCCGCCUCGGCCUCCCAAAGUGCUGGGAUUAUAGGCGUGAGCCACCAUGCCUAGCAUGGCUUAUUCUUCCUGAUGACUGUGUAAUAUUCCAAAAAUUAAAAUUACUCCAUCAUAAUUUAUUGAACCUUUCCUGUAUUGAUGUAUUGAUGGGCAUUUAUAGUCUUUCCAACUUUUCACAAAGUAAUUUUCCUUUUUUUUUUUUUUUUUUGAGACAAAGUCUUGCUCUGUCACCUAGGCUCGAGUGCAGUGGCUCGAUCUCGGCUCACUGCAACCUCUGUCACCCGGGUUCAAGCGAUUCUCCUGUCUCAGCUUCCCAAGUAGGUGGGAUUACAGGUGUUUGACCUGGUGAUGCUUUUCAUCAUCUAUAGCACCAAUACUCAGACAAAGAAGUACAUUGACAGGGUGCUAAGAAAUAAGAUUCGAUCAGGCUGCAUUCAAGAACAGCUGCUCCAGAGUACAUUCUCUGUUCAUUACUUAGUUCUUAAGGAUAUGUGUUCAUCCAUUCUGUCGCUGGCUCAGAGUUUGCUUCACUCUCUAGACCAGAGUAUAAUUUCAUUUGGCAGUCUCCUAUACAAAUAUGCAUUUAAGUUUUUUGACACGUACUGCCAGCAGGUAUGUUG